CCAGGAAAACCAAAGCCAGCUCUGCACAGACCUGCGUUUUUAUAGCUGCUAUAGUAUUCUGCAGUGCUUUUUUUUUCUCCCCGGCCAGACAGACACCACAAAACUG
Molecule: unclassified non-coding RNA, 106 nt
Organism: Seriola dumerili (greater amberjack)
Lineage: Eukaryota; Metazoa; Chordata; Actinopteri; Carangiformes; Carangidae
Source: Ensembl